UCUGUUCGAUGAAGCCGCUUCGGUGGUGGAUUAGUGGCGAACGGGUGAGUAACACGUGGGCAAUCUGCCCUUCACUCUGGGACAAGCCCUGGAAACGGGGUCUAAUACCGGAUAAUACUCCUGCCUGCAUGGGUGGGGGUUGAAAGCUCCGGCGGUGAAGGAUGAGCCCGCGGCCUAUCAGCUUGUUGGUGGGGUAAUGGCCUACCAAGGCGACGACGGGUAGCCGGCCUGAGAGGGCGACCGGCCACACUGGGACUGAGACACGGCCCAGACUCCUACGGGAGGCAGCAGUGGGGAAUAUUGCACAAUGGGCGAAAGCCUGAUGCAGCGACGCCGCGUGAGGGAUGACGGCCUUCGGGUUGUAAACCUCUUUCAGCAGGGAAGAAGCGCAAGUGACGGUACCUGCAGAAGAAGCGCCGGCUAACUACGUGCCAGCAGCCGCGGUAAUACGUAGGGCGCAAGCGUUGUCCGGAAUUAUUGGGCGUAAAGAGCUCGUAGGCGGCUUGUCACGUCGGAUGUGAAAGCCCGGGGCUUAACCCCGGGUCUGCAUUCGAUACGGGCUAGCUAGAGUGUGGUAGGGGAGAUCGGAAUUCCUGGUGUAGCGGUGAAAUGCGCAGAUAUCAGGAGGAACACCGGUGGCGAAGGCGGAUCUCUGGGCCAUUACUGACGCUGAGGAGCGAAAGCGUGGGGAGCGAACAGGAUUAGAUACCCUGGUAGUCCACGCCGUAAACGUUGGGAACUAGUGUUGGCGACAUUCCACGUCGUCGGUGCCGCAGCUAACGCAUUAAGUUCCCCGCCUGGGGGAGUACGCCGCAGCUAAAACUCAAAGGAAUUGACGGG
This 840-nucleotide ribosomal RNA is filed under the name Streptomyces sp. MN 2(7). RNAcentral's name for it is "bacterial SSU rRNA". It matches the Rfam family "Bacterial small subunit ribosomal RNA", at positions 62 to 917 of the family's 1533-position model. The record is from RNAcentral. Lineage: Bacteria; Bacillati; Actinomycetota; Actinomycetes; Kitasatosporales; Streptomycetaceae.